AUGGGGGAGCGGGUUACCGCACGGGCGCUGGGAGGGAAGCCGCGCUUACGCCGGCGGGGGGGUCUCCUCGCGCGCAAGUGCGUCCAGGAUCGCAGCCUGGAUAGCCCUCCCCCUGCCCCCUCCAGCUCAGAACCAGCCGGGACGGUUGCGCCGUGAGCAAGGCUGGCUGCGCCCGAGGCGAAACGGGAAGCGGGGGCCGCGCAGCUUGCCCUGCCCGCCGGCGGUGGAUCGUCUUCCUUUCCCGGGCAGAGGCAGCGGCCGGAGCCGGACGCCGCGGCGAGGGAGCCGGCUUCUUUCCAAGAUCGGCUCCGGAGAAGGACGCGGAUGGCACGAAAUGGAAAGAGGAAGAUUUUCACCUGGAGACGACAUUUCUUGAAUUGUACACAAGAUUUUUCACACUUUUUUUUUUCCUCUGCCACGACCCUCCCUCCCAAAUUAUGGAAGCUGCCAGGGACAGGUCUUGCUCAAGGAAAGCUUCCGAAGAGAUGUGGCAAGAGCCCAGAAUAACUGGGAGGAGGCUGGGCCAGCUGUGUGCACACAUGUGCCUGUGCAGACACACGCAAACACACCGUGCGCCUGCAGGGAUUGUAUGUCCGAGCAAGCCUAAACAGGCAUUUGCAGGAAAUCAAGAUAGACAAAGCAGGGAAGGAAUGCACGGCGGCCGAAGCCCGAACUCGUGUGCAGAGGUCAAGCCCAAAUAAUGGGCCACCCUCCCGUUUGUGGCCAGCCUGUCCAGAGCCUGAAAAAGUUCCUCAUUUAUUUAUUUAUUU
Pogona vitticeps (central bearded dragon) is the source of this 770-nucleotide long non-coding RNA. RefSeq lists it as uncharacterized. Lineage: Eukaryota; Metazoa; Chordata; Lepidosauria; Squamata; Agamidae. The record is from RefSeq and is a predicted model, not a curated record.